Long non-coding RNA from Mastomys coucha (southern multimammate mouse), 793 nucleotides. RefSeq lists it as uncharacterized. The transcript has 3 exons. Lineage: Eukaryota; Metazoa; Chordata; Mammalia; Rodentia; Muridae. The record is from RefSeq and is a predicted model, not a curated record.
CUCAUGGGAAGGGAAUGACAUGGACCCAGCAGCACUUGAUCUCCAGCAUGGAACAAUGGGGAACAUGCACACCAAUGGUUAAAGUGUCUGCAAGAGGUGCCUGUAAGAGAUGCCCCAUGUCCCUGGGCUUGUCAUGCAGGGUUUCUGUGUGUGGUUCUGGCUGUCCUGGAACUCGAUAGUAGACCAAGGGGGCCACAGACUCAGAGACUUGCCUGCCUAUGCCUCCCAAGUGCUGGGAUUAAAGGCGGUUGCCACCACACACUGCUGCUUUUAAAAAACUAAACAGUUGGCGACCAACAAGGUAAGAAUUGUAUACUAGGGAGGAAUGAGAAGCUACUUAAGCGUGUCUUGAAAAAACCACACAGUAAUGAAACUUGAUGGUGCUUCAGGCCACUUGGGAGGAAAUGAGGCCAGCCUGCUCCUCACCGAGGCAAGUCAGAGCUACAGAGUGAGACUCUUGACUCAAAAUAAACAGACCCCCACUUCCCACCCCGGCACAGAGGAUACUUGCAGUUUUGGAAGGCUGAAACAGGAGGUUGAGUCCUUGGCAAUAUGACUUGAUAAAGAAAAACAAAACUUCUCUUUUAUGUAAUUGAAAUCCAAAACCCUUUUACUGCACCAUGUCCCCAUCCCAGGUCUUGCUCUACAAUCAUAGGUUCCUUUCCCCAAACGCAGGCAUUUCAAAGCCACAUCAAAUAGGCAAGGCAAGGUGUAGUGCUGAGAACCUUUAACCUUAGUUCAAGAGGUAGAGGCAGGCAGAUCUCUGAAUGUGGGACCAGCUUGGUCUCCAAGU